This 10722-nucleotide long non-coding RNA is filed under the name Homo sapiens (human). RNAcentral describes it as "non-protein coding lnc-SPATA32-1:2". The record is from RNAcentral. Lineage: Eukaryota; Metazoa; Chordata; Mammalia; Primates; Hominidae.
GCUCUACGCAUGCGCUCCUACCUGAGCCGAGCCUACAAUCCAAACCUCCCUCGCCCAACUCUGCCCGCCACAGAUGCCCCUGGGCUCCCCUCCAGACCCUGCCCCGCAUCCCCGCCAGCCUGAAGCUCCUGCGCACCUGGGCUGGGGGAGCCGGUCGGCACCCCCGGAGUCGGAGCAUCACCGCCGCUCGGAGUUGCCACAGCGACGGGGAGGAUCUCGAUGGAGACAGCAUCCCCCGGCCCCCGCAGAAUACGGAUUAACCCCUUCUCCUCCAGCUCCUCCACCUUCAGCUCCAGGGCCGAGGGCCGCGUCGGGGCAGCGGGAGGCGCUUUCUCAGGCUCUGGGGGACGCCUGGAGGGCCCCAUGGCGGUCGAUUCGCUGAAGCGCUCCUACGAACCCCACGGGAGGGGUCAGUGCCCACCAGCAGGCUCCUUGGCACCAAGCCUCCAUCUUCUUCCCGGGGUGGAGGGAGAUGUCAAGCCUAGAAGCCUCAGCUGGCCUGUUCUUGGGCGCCUGGCCUACCACCCGCCCCAGCCUCACCCGCAGGGUCUCCAACUCCUUGCGCGCCUGGCUUAGCUGUUUUUCCAGUUCUGCAAUCUUGGCCAUGGAUUCGUUCUCCGCGUCCCGAAGCCGCUCUGUCAGCUGUAGCACCAGCACAUGGUGAGCCCCGACCCGCAGCCCGGCACUGGCACCGCCGGUGAGGGGGCGGCAUCAGGCAUGCCUGCCUGGAAGACUGGGGGAGGCUCCCAGAUCCGCUCAGCCCAGGUGCCAAGGGUGGGCCGAGCCUGGCACUCGAACCCAAGCAAAUAAGGAGAGGAAACCAAGGUACCAGUGAUGCGGGAGGUGGAGGGAGAGGAGGAGACUGAGCUGGGAGGGGCCCCAGGCACCCAUUUCAGUUCACCUGGGGUCUGAGCCUGGGUAGAGGAGGGGCCUGUCAGUGAGGGUGCUCACCCACACUCAUUGAGAAAGACACCCAACAGAUUCAGGCUUUGGAUUCAGGCCAGGCUCUGGGGCCAGGCAGGCAGCACCUCCAAUGCACAAUUAUAACACUGUCUGCUGCCCAGUGCCCAUGCUUGCGUGGCCCUGUGGCCCGUGUGCCCUGUGGGCCUAUGAUGUGCUGGGCUGGGGUCAGGACCCACUCUCACCAGCGCCACUUGCUCCUGCAGUUCCUCCAUGUGCUCCAGCACAGCGUUCUUGGUCUCUGUGUCCUCCAGCAGCGCCCCCACAUCAAAAAUAUUGUCCAGGUACGCCUGGAUCUGCACCUGCAGCUUGUCACUCUCGGUGAGCCGAAGCCUCUGUCCCCCAGAUGGAAGGAGUGGGGUGAGGCCUGGUGUGUGUGUGGGGGGGAGUCUUUCCAAACCACCCCCCUGCCACCACUGCCAUCCAGAGGAAGGGGCCUGAGCCCUAGCCUACUUUUUCUUUAUUUUUUAAUAUAUAAUUCACAAAUCAUAAAAUCCAUUUUAAAGUGUACAAUUCAGUCAUUCUUAGUAUAGCCACAAGGUUGUGCAACCAUCACCAUUAUCUAAUUCCAGAACAUUGUCAUCAGCCCAAAAAGAAACCCCACAGGCGUCAGCAGUCACUUGCCAUUCUCUCCUCCCCCAGUCCCUGGCAACCACUAAUCUACUUUCCAUCUUUAUGGAUUUACCCAUUCUGGACAUUUCAUAUAAAGCAAUCAUAGAUAGCUGGGCGAGGUGGCUCAUGCCUGUAAUCCCAGCACUGUGGGAGGCUGAGGCAGACGGAUCACCUAAGGUCAGGAGUUCAAGACCAACCUGGCCAACGUGGUGAAACCCCCGUCUCUACCAAAAAUACAAAAAUUAACCGAGUGUGGUGGUGGGCACCUAUAAUCCCAACUACUGGGGAGGCUGGAAAAUCACUUGAACCCGGGAGGCAGAGGUUGCAGUGAGCCAAGAUCGUGUCACUGCACUCUAGCCUGGGCAACAGAGCAAGACUCCAUCUCAAAAAAAAAGCAAUCAUAGAGUACGUGACCUUUUGUGUCUGGCUUCUUUCACUUAGCAUGUUUUCAAGGCUCACCCAUGUUGUACCAUGUGUCAAUACUUCAUUCCUUCUUGUGGCUGAAUAAUACUCCAUUGCACAGAUAGACCCCCCCGCCAGCCUGCUCUCUACCUUUUGUUAAUCCUGGCUUUCAAAAAUCCAACCCCGAAAGCCCCGCUCCUCCAGGAAACCUCCCAAAGGAAGCAGAGAAGGAGCUGCAGCUUCUCUGCUCAGCCUGGGCCAGGAAGCACCAAGCAGCUCUGCCCACCUUCCCCAGGGCAGGGAACUCCUCCAUGUCCUGGGCCCAUCCAGCAUGAGCCAACUCCUGCUUCUACCCUGUAUCUCUGGGUUCCCCAUUAUAUGCUGGAGUCAGAGCACCUGUCUGAGGCUGGUGCUCCCAGAGCCAGACUCUGGGCUACCUUGACCUGUUCUGGUGCCUGCAAAAACAGUUCCAUAGACUGGGGGCCUGGUAUGUGCCAGGCACUGGUCUAUGCAUUUAGAGUCAAGAUUAUCUUCUAUGAUUCUCCUAUUUCACAGAUGGCAAAACUGACACUGAGAGAGAGGAAGAGGCCUAUCCAAGGUCACACGGCAGGCAACGGCAGAGCCAGGAUUUAAACCCAGGUCUACCUGACCCCAGCACUCAUGCUGCUAACCACUCAGCCAUACUCUGCCGUGGGCAGGCAGUUCAGUCUGGGGGGCAGUACAGGGCUUACCUCCAAGUACAGGUCCAGGCCCAAGUGGGUGAACUCAUAUUGCAGGAAGACACGGAAGUUCAUGUUCUCCACCGAAUGUACCACAAUGUUGAUGAACUGCAUGCAGGCCACCUGGGAGCCAGGGACAUGGGGAGAUCUAUGAUCCUCUAGGUGGGGUUGCUCAAUGCCUUCCACCUCCACUUACCCCAAGCCUCCCUCCUUCUCCACAGUUCUCACUCCACUAACUCCCAGCCUUGGCCUGCCCAACAUUUCACCUCCAUGUUCCCUCAAUCCAGCCCCCUGCCAACAUCCACCCUUCCCCUACUGACCACUCAGUCCUUACGCUUUGCGGGGGCAGAGCCCAUUGCCCAGCACCCAGGACCCUAGCUGCUCCCUGCACCCAAGAGGGCCUGGCCCAGGCCUCAGGCUGCUGGGCUCCUGAGCUCACCAUGAAGUCGAUGUUGCUGUCCUCAUUCCGGAAAUAUUCCAUCAGCUUUUCAAAGCGGUGCUGCUCCCCACACACCUGGGUAAGGGGAAUGGCUCUCACUGAGGCCCAGUGACACACGUCCUAAGCUACCUUCUGGCUGCCACACCUGUGCUUCAACAGGCUCCUCUCCAGUUAAUUCUAAGUUGAGCCACGUCACUCUUCUGCUCAAAACCUCCACUCCCUCUCAAUCUCCCACUCUCCCUCACUUUUUCCACUCUGGCCACACUGGCAUCCUGGCACAUUCCCACCCCAGGGCCUUUGCACUUACUGUUCCAACUCCCUGGAGUGCCCUCACUCCCACACCAAGUCCCUUGCUUCCUUCACAGCUUUGCUGAAAUCUCACUUGCUCAGUGAGGCCUUCCCUGACCACCCUGCAACCAAUUCCCCCUCCCUCUGCAACAUUGCUGGCUUUUUUCUCACAGCAUUUAUCAUUUCCUAACAUACUAUGUAAUUUGCUUGUUUAUUAUAUCGUUUCUGUCUUUCCCUAUAUGGUUUCCUUUGUUCACUGAUGUGCCCAAGUGCCCUGUUCCUGACACAUAGUAGGCACUCAAUAAAUAUUCAUUAAAGGAAUGAAUGAAUGAAGAUAUCUUGUCUUAUGCAUCUUAUGCAGCCCCACACAUCUACUUCUUGCAAGCCUGUUAGCCAGAGUCCGCAACUCCUGGAGGUAUGAACCAAGGCUAGUUUGGAUCUGGCAAGGCUGAGUCAGAGGUUCAGCAGGUCCCUGUAGUUGUCCCUACCCCCACCCAGGUGGUGCCCUUACCUGACCCUGUACCUUCCAUUCAGAACUUCCCCAUCCCAGAUUGCUGAGCCAGUGAUGUGGCUCAACUUCAACUUUUGGGCGUUCCCCAAAUGCCCACCCAAUGUCCCCAGCUGCCUCCAGCAAAGGCCACAACUGCCAACAACAAGACUCCAAGCAACACCAUAGGGGGAAAUGCAUGUUUGGGUGAGGGACUCCGGUACCUCCUUGAAGUUGUCAAAGGCUGCAAGGAUGAUGUCAUGUCCUCCCCGCACCAAGCACACGGCCGCCAGCAGCUCCAGCACCAGAGCCUUGGUUCUGGAGAGAGAAGGGGCAGGUUGUCCCUUGAGAACAGGCAGGACCCGCGGCAAGGGUGGGCACAGGCCUGGCUAGGAGGAGCAUAGUGGGUGCAGAAUGAGCCUCUGAGACCUGGAGGACAGAGUAAGCAAGGGGCUAAGUAGGAGAAGACUCUAGAUACGGAGAAAGGUUUGGGGCCUGGACCUCACCUGGGGUUCUUGUUGUUGAGGCUCAGAGCAAUCUCAUUGACACAGGCUGGGUGGUUCAUGACAAGGCUGAAGCCAGACUGGGGAGAGAGGAGAGGUCAGUGUCUCCAGGAAGGGCCCCCCAGGACUUCAGGCACCCACGCCACGUGGAUCUUUAACUGCCCUCGAGUUUAGGAAGUUCUUUGUAUCCAACCGCAACUUCUGUGGCCACCAAAACCUGGCCUUGUUUCUAUUUUUUUUUUCAAGAUGGAGUUUCCCUCUGUCACCCAGGCUGGAGCGCAGUGGCGCCAUCUCAGCUCACCGCAGUCUCUGCCUCCCGGGUUCAAGUGAUUCUCCUGACUCAGCUUCCCAUGUAGCUGGGAUUACAGGCACCUGCCACCACACUCAACUGAUUUUUUUUGUAUUUUUUUCAGUAGAGACGGGGUUUCGCCAUAUUGGCCAGGCUGGUCUCAAACUCCUGACCUCAGGUGAUCUGCCCACCUUGGCCUCCCAAAGUGCUGGGAUUACAGAUAUGAGCCACCACGCCUGGCCUCUCUUUAUUUAUUUUUUAUUUUUUUAUUUUCAUAGAGAUGGGGUUUCAGUAUGUUGCCCAGGCUGAUCUCAAAUUCUGGGUUCAAGCAAUCCUCCCGCUUCGGCCUCCCAAAGUGCUGGGAUUAUAGGCAUGAGCCACUGCACCUGGCCUCUUUUUAAAAACCUUUGUGUUUCCAAAAGCCAGCAUCAGGCACCUUGGAAACCGUGAAGCUGGCUUAAAGGCGGGCUAAGUAAAGGAGGACCCAGCUUCACCCAUCAGCCCUCCAAAUGAAUCGACCCGAGGCUGUUCUCCCCUGGCCCUCCGGCCAGCCCUUCUUGGUAGGUGAGCCCAGUCCCUAUGUGAGGCUCCUUCAUGCCCAGCCAUGGGCAGGGGUACUCAGAGAACCUGACAGAGGCAGCAAAAACAUGGGCUUCCCCUCAAGACUCAUCAGCCUUAAAAGCCUGAGCCAACAGCCCAGAUGCGCAAGUUCCCCAGCACAGCACAGGGUAAAGGGACAGUGGAUCCCAGAGCCUCGGCAGCUUGUGUAGCCCCCAGUGAGGACAGGCUGGGCUCCCUAGUCGCCAGUCCCAUGCCCCUCGGCUGACCUGGUAGUUCAUGAUGGCGCGUAGGCACAUAAUACAGACGUGGACGUCGUCCUUCUGGCUGACGAUGCGGGAAUUCCGCAGGGCCUUCCUGCUGUGGGCUGGGGUCAGCCUGGGCGGGGUGUGGAGGAGGCAGCAGGAGUCAGAGUGAGCCCCAGCUUCCUGUUUCCCCACCACUCAGCCUCUGGGGUAAGAGGAGGCACAUCUGGAACCUGACGGCACCACAUCCCAUCUACCCAACCAAAGAGGCUGGCUGAGGGCAGGCAGGCUUCCUCAGUCCUUAGACCUGGGGUCUGGCAUGCUUGGAGGAGGGGGGACACAGAAGCAAAGACACUUCCCAGGGACUUGGUAGGGUGAGGGUCUAUAGAAGGAAGAGACAUGGGAAGGAUCACCACAAGGUGGCGCUCAUGGCCACUUGGGCUCAUCUUCCAAUGUAAGACGCAGAUCUGAAUUCACACUGCCAGGGUUCAGGCGCAUCCCAGCUCACCAUUUACUGGAUAAGUCACUUAAUCUCCCUAUCCCUCACUUUCCUCGCUUCUAGAAUAGGAAUGCUAAUAAUAGUAGCUUCCUGUCAGGGUUGUUGGGACUAUGGAAUAGGCUUAGAACAGUGCCUGGCACAUAGUAAGUGCUAUAUGACUGUACUCCCUUAUUCUUCGCCAACAAAUGUGUGAUGUUUUCAUUGUUGCAGAACUGCCGACCGGGACUUCCACAUGUCAGUCUCUCUGAUGAUUCUAUCACAUUCCCAGUAAUACCAGGAGGCCCCGCCUUCACCCCCUCCUGCCACAUCACCCUUUCUUGUCAUUGUGCUAAUAUGUCAGAGUUUUUGUUCAUGCUGUUCCUUCUGCCUGGAAUGCUCUUCCCUGUUCCCAUGGCUGCCUGUAAAGCCUGUAUCUGUCUGUAAGACACAGUUCCAGCGUCACCUUUUCUGGGAAGCCUUCCUGAUGUCCCAAGUGGUGGCCACCUCCCUUCUCAGAGCUCCCAGGCACACUUCCAUGACAGCCUGUCACACUAAAUUGUCCCCCACUUAGACUGUGGGCCCCUGAGGGCAGGGUGACCUGUCUCCUGGGCACCUGCCAUAUACCUAAUACAUACUAAGUGUUAAAAAAAUGUUUGCUGAAUGCAUAAUUGCAUGAAUGGACAAAUAACAUAUUGUGAAAGUUUGAGGCUUAAUAUGCAAUCAAUCCUCUAGACCCAAAGCAGGAAGCUAGGGAUUCACAAGAUGCUCUAGGGUCCAUCUACUGCCUGCUUCCUGCCUCCCAGCAAGAUGCCCGUGUUAGGAUGGAGGAACCCAGCCACAGCACUGAACCCAGGGACAUCAGUUGAAUACCUCAUCCUAACCCACCACCACCCUGGGAGGGAGUCAGCCAGGCAUGCACCUGCCCCUAGAUGGCUACGUACCGGGGAGAAGGGGGACACCUGGAGGCCGCAUGGGAGAAAACAGGGGAUUAGAUGCAUACAAGAGGGGUCCCACCAACCCAGAAACUCCCUUCUUAUCCCAGACCCAUCCAGACUCCAACUUCUAGGUGCCCACCCCGAUGGCUUCUUUUUUCUUUUCUUUUCUUUUUUUUUUUUUUUUUUUUUUUUGAGACAGGGUCUCACUCUGUCACCCAGGCUGCAGUGCAGUGGUGCGAUCUCAGCUCACUGCAACCUCCAUCCCCUGGGCUCCAGCGAUUCUCCCACCUCAGCUUCCUGAGUAGCUAGGAUUACAGGCGUGCACCACCACACCCGGCUAAUUUUUGUAUUUUAGUAGAGAUGGGGUUUCACCAUGUUAGCCAGGCUGGUCUCAAACUCAUGUCCUCAAAUGAUCUGCCCACCUCAGUCUCCCAAAGUGCUGGGAUUACAGGCAUGAGCCACAGCACCCAGCCCCACCCCUGAUGGCUUCUUAACAUACUGGUGUCCCAAACUCUGUAUGAGUCCCUUACUCGGACCCCUAAUGCAUGGCUACCCCUCUCGCCAACCCCAAGGGCCCGGGGUGGGCUGGCUAGAUGCAGCAGUGUGGGGGCUGAAUUCUCUGUUCUCCCACCACCCCACUUUGUGGCCCACAUACUUGAUGGUCAGGUGGCGGCUUUUGGGCACGGAGGAGGGUGGACCCUUGCUGAGGUCUUCCACAGACUGCUCCAGGGGCUUGUUUUUCUCUGAGUUGGAAGCCCCGUUGUCUGUGCUCUCCAUGUCAUACCUGGGGACAGGAUGCAAUGGGGCUGGAGGCCAACACUGCAGGGGCCACUUAAGAGGGGGCAGAGGAAACGCAAGGAGAGACAGACCUGCAGGUGAGACUAAGGAGCAGGAGGAGGAGGCUGUGUUCUUGGCACUGUGCUGAACAUAGUGGUGGAAGAGAGGCCACCCCUCCCUGUCGGGGGCAGGCCUUCUGGAAGGAGCAUCGCUCAAGGCCAAGUGGAGGGUUCCAGGGUAGGCUCGGGCUGCCUGGCUUGAAACUGGCCAGGGGAGUGGGUGAGAUGCAGGGAGACGGGGAUCAAAGCUCUGAGGAGCGGCAUGAGGGCUGGGAGCAGGGGGCUUACGUGACAGAGCACUGGGCAAAGGCCAGGUACUCGAGCAGCACAUCCAGGCCACGGUUCUCUUCAUUGAGGAACUCCUGCACCCACCUGUGGGCACAGGGCUCCCUGAGCUCCAGCCAGAAAGGAGGUCCUGCCCCACAUGGGCACAGAACAGGGACAGCAAGGACCCCUGGGGUGCCCUUUCAACCCCCAAAGACCCAAUGAUACCAAAGGAUUCUGGGAGACUCAGGUGGGUCCCACAGCCCAGCCAUGCCUCAAGGUGCCAGUCAGAGCAUGGGCAGGAAGGGGAGGGGAAGCUGUCCUGGACACCUCCAGGAGGUGGUCCACAAGCACAGCCUUGUGCAGGGGGCAGGGGGAGUAGGAAGGGGAAGCUCCAGGAGCUGCCUGGAAGCAGAGCCUUCCUAGGCCCAGAGAGGAAGAUCUGAGCCCUCACUCACCCAAUGUGGUUGGUCCUCAGGGAGGUCUCCAGCUCCCGUAGCACCUGCGUGGACUCCUGAACUCGCCUCUUAAACUGGGGACCGAGAACAGGGAAGGCUGGUGGGUGGAGCCCGGCCUCCCACAGGCCCACCAAGUCCUGAGGCAGCAGGCAGCAGCGCCCACCCUCCUCCAACUGGCACAAGUGGCCUUUCAUGCUCAGCCUCCCCCACCACCUCCACACACCUGCCCAGCAGAAUAAGAACUCACAGGCUACAUGUGCUCCCCCAUACAUAGACAAGCAGGGUACACACACCCCCGAUACAUGGGCACACAAGGUAUACACAUGCACACACACAAAGAGGCAGAGUGUGUGUGCGCACACACACACACAGCACAUGAACAUCCAUAUACCUGCACUCUAAAUACAGACAUAGAAUAUCCACACAUCCAUACAUGGACACACACACACACACAUUCUCUCUCUCUCCUAGAUAUGGACUCAAUGGUACACACACACAUCCAUAAGUGGACAAAGUACACACAUAGUAUACACACACACCUAUGUAUGGACAUAUGGGCUGCACAUGUGUAUACACACAGUAUAAGUACACAGAAUGUGUCCAUGUAAGCACACACAGGAUGUACAGAGGAAUAUCUAAAGUGCACACCCAGGGCACUCUCAUUCCCCUAUAAAUACACAGACACACAAACACACACACACACUCAUACAUGCACCCACACACGCACAUAGAAAAGUCUGUACACACAGUUACUCCAGCUGCCCAGAGCUUGGAAAAUGUGGGGGAAAGGGACAGAGUAAAGAGGGGAGACAUGUACCCCCAGGUUGGACAUCCAAUCAGCUGCUACCUUUCGGCUGACCCCACCAGUAUCCACAUAGCUCUUCAGCUUCUGGAUGUAGGCUGCGGGGGGAUUCUUGACUUGAAACCGCUCCUGGGGAGAUGGAAUGGGGUGUACAGAAAACCAGCCAGAGCUACCCCAGGGCAAAUGACCAGUUCUCGUCCCAGUGUCCCAUUCUCAGCUCCGAUCUGAGGUCCCAGGCUUUCUUAAGACGCCUCUGAAAUACCAAAGGUAUAAACCCAAACAGUCCACCAAGCCACUUUCUUUUUUUUUCUUUUCUUUUAUCUUUCUCUUUUCUUGCCCUGUGGCCCAGGCUGGAGUGCUGUGGCACGAACAUAGUUCACUGGAGCCUCCUACUCCCGGGCUCAAGCGAUCCUCCUACCUCAGCCUCCCAGGUAGCUGGGACUACGGGUGUGCACCACCACGCCCAGCUAGCAUCGGGCCACUUUAAAAACCCCUGGCCUAGGCCUAGCCUGCCCUUCCUGUAUGGGCUCCCAGGCCACAGCCCUGACACAGCUUUGGGGUGGACUAUGCAGGGGUCAGUCCUGCCGUAGGCCCCGCCCUGGGGUGGGAAGGAACUCAGUCUAGCCAGCAGGUGGUGCCCUCCCUGGACCAGAGCUGGCAUACGGCGGGGAAGGACGGCUGGAGGUGCCUCGUGAAGGGGACCCAGCACCUGGGUAGGACUCGGACCCAGCCGCCCUGCACAUCUGCGUUGGCAGGAACCUGCGUGCUCCUCUCCUGUGCUCAGUGAUGCAAUUCCUAAUCCCCCCACCCCACUGCAGGCUCCAGCGGCCACUCACACAAAGAGGCAGGGACCACGGCAAAGACCCCUCCCCAGAGGGGCCCCCACCCUUCCAACCCAAACCCCUCAGAUUCGCCGAGCCACCCCUCAGACUUUCACUUCUUCCAGCCCUUUGAGCCCCCAACCUCUGAGAUGUCAGGCUGAGCUGCUCCAAGGGGACCCCUACCAGAGACUCCAGGGGCAGCUCUCCACCCUCUUCCCACUUCCCAGCCCUUACCCCUGGACUGCUGCCCAGCCGGCUCAGGCCAUCUGCUUCAUUAGCAGGAGGCAAAGGCCCAGCCUUGGCUCCCAGGGGAGGCUCUCAGCUCCCAACUCCCCACCCCCAGCCUCUGCAGCCUCCCUCCUUCACAGAAUCCCUGCGGCAGCCGAGCCCCACCCAGCCCAGCGCUGGGAGAGGGUCGGCCCAUGGCCGACCGCAGCCCUUGAAGCUGGAGGGGUGGGGACAGCUGAGUGACCCGUGAGUCCAGGCACCUGGACGGAGCACCAAAGCAGGGGUCCAAAGUGGCUGGCCUUGGGGAGUUGCUGGUCAACUGCAGCUCCUCUGGACCCAAGGCAAAAGGGCAGGAAUUCCCGCCCCUUCCUCCCUCCCUCCCAUGGGGUCAGGUGAAG